Molecule: ribosomal RNA, 471 nt
Filed under: uncultured bacterium
Lineage: Bacteria
Description: bacterial SSU rRNA
Rfam family: Bacterial small subunit ribosomal RNA
Source: RNAcentral
GAUGAACGCUGGCGGCGUGCUUAACACAUGCAAGUCGAACGGACUUAUCAUGAAGCCUAGCGAUUGAUAAGUUAGUGGCGGACGGGUGAGUAACGCGUGGGUAACCUGCCUCACACUGGGGGAUAACACAGAGAAAUUUGUGCUAAUACCGCAUAAUGCAAUUGAGUCGCAUGGCUCUGAUUGCCAAAGAUUUAUCGCUCUAAGAUGGCCUCGCGUCUGAUUAGCUAGUUGGUGGGGUAACGGCCCACCAAGGCGACGAUCGGUAGCCGACCUGAGAGGGUGAUCGGCCACAUUGGAACUGAGAAACGGUCCAGACUCCUACGGGAGGCAGCAGUGGGGAAUAUUGGGCAAUGGGCGAAAGCCUGACCCAGCAACGCCGCGUGAGGGAAGAAGGGUUUCGGCUCGUAAACCUCUGUCCUAUGGGACGAAGAAGUGACGGUACCAUAGGAGGAAGCCCCGGCUAACUACGUG